UGGGGAAUAUUGCACAAUGGGCGCAAGCCUGAUGCAGCCAUGCCGCGUGUAUGAAGAAGGCCUUCGGGUUGUAAAGUACUUUCAGCGAGGAGGAAGGUGUUGCAGUUAAUAACUGCAGCAAUUGACGUUACUCGCAGAAGAAGCACCGGCUAACUCCGUG
RNAcentral lists this ribosomal RNA (160 nucleotides) under uncultured Citrobacter sp. RNAcentral describes it as "partial 16S ribosomal RNA". It matches the Rfam family "Bacterial small subunit ribosomal RNA", at positions 355 to 507 of the family's 1533-position model. Lineage: Bacteria; Pseudomonadati; Pseudomonadota; Gammaproteobacteria; Enterobacterales; Enterobacteriaceae. The record is from RNAcentral.